CUCUCUCUCUCUCUCUCUCUCUCUCUCUCUCUCUCUCUCUCUCUCUCUCUCUCUCUCUCUCUCUCUCUCUCUAGACGAUUGUCGACGCAUGGUCGUUCAUUACUUUUCGAGAUCGCUCUCGUCCGAUCUAUGUCUCUCUUCAACAAUUCUCACGAGCAGUUCUCUCCACGCUAAAGAAUAUCAUUAAAGCAAUACUGAAAGCUCGCUGCUGAAUACCGCAACUCGGAUUGUUACGAAAUUGCGUGGAAGUGAUUUUCUCGAAACUGUACUGCUGAAGAUAAUGAGAACGACUGUGUUCAUUUGUUAAGCGAAACAACCAACGAGAUUAUUAGAAUUCUGUGCGACGUAAUAACGACGAAGCGACAAUACCUCUAUGAAUGUGCUCCUUCUCAAAUUCUCUCUAGAGCGAAUACAUUCGCGAAUGUGUAAUGAUGAGCAUUAUAUUUAAUAUUAAUGUGAUAAAACAUUUCCAUGUUUUACACCCUGGUCAUUAUACAUAUAUUACAAUAUGAUUUACAUUUCUAUAGUAAUUUAUAUUAGAUUAAUUAAUUUUAGAUUAUUUAUCGUAGAAAGGCAGACUUGUUAUAAAAGAGUCUGACAAUGAGUGAAAAAUAAUUUACUGAAUACUUCCAAUAAAUCGAGUCAAAAUGACGAUAGCUGUCGGUCUGUUCUUGACACUUGCAAGGCAAAUUAAUUCGCGACAGCUGACUCGGUUGUCAGUUCGAUUAAGUGUUGGGUGGAGCUGAAUGGUUGUGUAACAAAUUAGAUCUGGCUGUGCUGACUAGUUUAUAGGCUGCGUAUUUACUUGAGGCUAUACGAUAUUGCAUAUGAGAUAUAAGCCACAGCCUAUUAUCGCUAUAUCGAUUCGACAUGGCAAAUCUCAUUUUGAUACUACGGAUAUGCAUUAUGUCAAAUGUAUACGUACGAAACAUAAUUUUAAUUGGGACUGUACUUAAGAAAAUAGGUGAGUUGCAACAAUAAUUUUGUUUCUUCUCUUCCGUGUAAAAAAAAUUCGCUAAUAAGCUUUUGGAGAAUAACUUGGAGAGUAAUUUACAGAGAAUAAAAGAGAAAAUCUCUUAAUUUCGACCAUAAAAACUUUCGUGAACAAUAAUAUGCGGCAAUUAAAUAAUACAUACUGCAUCUGAAUUAUUUAUUUGCAAAAGAUGAGGAGAGAACUCCUGCACUAAUUAAAUUUAUAUGAUGUUCUACAUUUCACAUUUAUCGUACACGUUACAUUACAUCUCAUUUUACCGAUAAUUUACUUAUUUAAAUAAUCGUUAGAGCCAUUUUCCACACAAUUAUCGUACUAUUUAAAUCAAUUCUAUUCUUCUUUGAUGUCGUUCAAUCCUGAUGAUGAAACAUGUCAUUGGCUCAUUAUGGGUUUCUGUUGAUCCGGUUAAUGAUAGCUAAUGAAUAUAUCUUUAUUUGCAUGAAAUGCGAUUAUUCGGCAGCCCUGUCAAAUAUUUUCACUCAAUAAUACAAGGAUAAAAUGACACAUCAUAAUCAAAAGAUUUAAUAGAGUACGUUUUUUUUUAUAUACCUAUCAUUUGUUGAUCUAAAAAGAAUAGCGACGCGUAAAAAUAUUUUUCUCUUUCUAGUUAAUAGUUGACAAUUACUUAUCAAGUUAAAAUUUAUAAUUAAUAUUACGUGUAUUUAUAAAUUAUAUUAAGUGUAGAGUAAUACCAAAGAUAAAAAAUAAAAAUUCAUGACUCAAUGUUUGAUGUGAAUCAAAAGAGCUUUUUCAUAUUUCGCAGUCAAUUCAAGAUUUAAGAAUCUAACGCUUUAACGAUUUCGCGUCCAUCAUCGUCAGACCAAGUAUUUACUUCACACUGGCGAGCUCGCGAGGGAUAAAGGAAGGAAGGAAGUGCCGAAGGAAGGAAGAAAGCUGUGGGGAGAACGUCAUGAGAAAAGGGCGAUCCAUCAAAAUCAAAAGAGCGCCGCCGCAAGCGCCAAGGGUCGUUUACUUUCUCCGCUCUUCGCGGAUACUUGGUUAUUUUUCGAGUCGCCUCUUAUCUUUUUUUUCCCUUUGUCCUCCCCGUUUGUGUCAUUAUCCUCACACCUACGUGUGACAUUGGUGAAGUGGCCAGAUAAAUGAUAUAACAAGUAACUAUGUAUUAUAUACAAAGAACAGCCUUGAUCUACUCGAACGGAUUGAGUAGAAUAUCUUGGGCCUGGAUAAUUUAUUCUCAAAGAUGUGGAAUUUUCUAGACUGCGCGUGACAAUUAUUAAUCGAUCGUUUGAGUAUCACUCGGAUGACAAUUAUAACAUUAAUAGGAUGCUAAUUAAUAUCGCGUUCAAAUAACUCUGUUCAGUAUUCCGAUAUUGAAGAUUAUCGAGCUGUUUACUUCUCAUUGCAAAGUUUUUCGAUUGAAAACACGUCUGUCGUUACACACCGCACAAGUAGAGAGAAGUUUCUCUUAAAAAGCAGACAAGGUACUAACUAGGUAAGACAUCAACAUGUGGAAAGUUUAGGGUGCGAGGUGUUGUACUGGAAAUUUAUGCGCGCGCGAGCAGCGAGAUAACAUCGCUCGACGAGGCACACACAUAUCGCGAGUUUUCACCACUCGAAUGCCUGAAUAAUUGGAAAUUCAAUAACUCGACACUCACGGUACAACUUGAGACUGCUUGCGGCAUGCUAAGUAACACUAUCGCCGCUCCUUCAACUUGAUGAUGAUUUAGUAGCGCGGAAGGAAAUACAUAUGAGAGAGAGAGGGAGUAGCAGAGAGAGAGAGAGAGAGAGAGAGAGAGAGACUCGACGGGAGCAGGGCGGAGCUGGGCGCGGGCGCGUGAAUCUAUUUAAGCGCGACACUGAGAGAAUCACGAAGUGAAGGGUGAAGAGAGGACAGAAUAAUGGAUGGUAUACCCGUAAUGUCACAUGCAGCAUGCCGAAACCACGCCGUCCACACUCUCUCGGCAGUGUUAAUCAAACGGCGCGCGAGGUAACCCGCGGAAAAGGCGACCGCGACGCGACGUGGUGGUGGUGGGCUGGGGGAUGUACGGUCAGAGAGAACGCGUGGCCAGGCUAUCAGGCUGGUCGAUUGGCCGAAGAAGCUUUGGAAAACUGCCAGCGAGUUUCCGAAGUCGCAAGCUUUGGCUGACCUCGGCUCGUCUAUCCCACCGAGAUGGAUUUUUUUUUCUCUCAGGACCUUUGUGUCCCCGGGAAGUAACUUCACGGUUGUAUCCGUGUGUAUUGCUCGCCGAUGUGACGGAUACUCGUUCGUGUGUGCGCGCAUACGAACAGCUCGUGCGCACACAGGAGCAUGCAUUUUACGAGCCAACAUCCCCCCUCGGGUGCGUGCGGUGGCAUCGUCAGCAUUUUCUACCUUGACCGAUGAGAUCGUUGCUGAAACGAAUGCAUGUUUACAGUGGUUCUCAGUAUGUCGGAUCCACAACUGUCCGCGCACCAACUACGUCUUAUAAUUUGUCGCCUCGAUAAAUGUAGCGAUAAAACACGUUAACUCUAUCUUUGCAUUUAUGUUAUGUGUAAAAAGACGUAAUGCAAUAAAGAACCCAAAAUUAUAUAUAUAUAUAUAUAUAUAUAUAUAUAUGUCGACAACUUUUUAUUACAUCAUCUCUCCUCUCUAAAUUUCGGAAACAAGUCGUUCGUUAAGCCCUCAACGAUUGAAUCGAUCAAAAGGACUUGACAAUUAACGAAAUCGUUGAAGAGCUGGUCGGAUGGAAACGUAACAGUUGCGCCUGGAGAUCGUAAGCCCAUCGCUGCUUUUCAGGAAAUUACAUUCCAUUCAUAACGGCUUCCACAACGCUUAUCGCGAGCGGCAUUUAAAUAAAUUUACACUGUCUGUGUUUCCAUGAACUGAGAAACGACAGUACGCCUCAGCGGUUCUGAAGGGUAUCUGCGAGGAUGCUUUAGAUAACUUUUAAUUGGGAUGAACAUAAAUUUUCCUGCGCGCCAGUAACGCUCGCGAGCUUUAUUGUAAGGCAGAAGCGCUUACGAUGAUUCUCGUCAUUUAAAAUAAUACAAAAUGCUUCCAAAUGGACAAUGGCGUGUUAUUACGCGUUGUAACCUCUUGCUAUAACUCGCGGACGAACUUUAUUUUACAAUUAACAAGAGCACCGGUGUUUAUGAUCGAUAAUAAAAACGGCAAAUUGACACAUCCUCCAUGAUAUCCUCUCUUCACACGAAUGUUACAUGCUGCACAAAAUGCGCGUCGCUACGGGUCAACGGUUUCAGCCUCGUCGAAUUUCUACGUCAAGCCCUGCUCGCUUGAGUGCGAUUAUUUGCAUAACACAAUGAACAUUUCGGUAUUGACAUUGCGCAGUUUCUAUUAGCGCGAGCAAUAUUUGAAAUUGCGAAGCGCCAGCGCCUGAGUUUUGUUCGGACGUCGGAUUGAUCCGAUUUGCGUAUUCCAUCCGAUACCGGACAGCCUAGUUUUUAAAAAUACUGACAUUUUACGUUGUCAGGAAGGACUUGGGCUUUUUUCCCCGAUCGUUUGUAAAAUGUAUGUCGAAUGAAAAAGAAGAUCGACGAGUUAACAACGUCGAGCAACUUCAACGUAACGCUGCUUUGUUUUGAUGCACAAAACGACAAAUUAAUUACAACUUCGUAACGAAGCGAUCGAUAACUGCGAAUUAAUAUCUGGCAAACAACACGGAACACUAAAAAUACAAAUGUAAAUUGCAACAACACAUUAGAGACUGUAAUUGUAUGUUUUGUCAUGAUUUCUUUGCACAGUUCCAUUGAAAUUUUAUGCAUUAUUGUUGCAUUAUUAUUUAUUAUUAUUUACGUUCACGCGACUUUUUCUCGCUUUUUUUUAUCUACGAUUUUCUCGUAUAAAGUAUAGAGACCUAUAAGAGAGCAAUAUUAUUGCAAAUAAAUUUAUCAGAAAAACUAAUAUACUUCUCUUUAAAACCAAUAUAAAGAACAAAAAAUAGCAGCAAUAUUAAUAACGUUACGUAUAAUCUAAAUAUUUUCCACAGUAGUAAGCAUCCUUCACGGUUUAUCGAACCGUUAUGCGUAAUAUUGCCGGCCAAUUAAUGUCAAUGUCAAAUUUUAUUUUGGCGGUUACCGGUUCGGCAGGUUAUACGCAGGAUGCGCACCAUAUCCUUCAAUUACAGAUACAAUUUUUUCUUCCGGUUAAUCCCUUUACAUUCUAAUUGCUUGUGCGCGAUGAACGUUUCGUCUCUUUCAUCUGUACACGCGUCGAUACUACUAACUUACGAUACCUUUCAAAAUUACAACAUAUUCUCGUCAUCAUUCCUGAUAAAUAUAUCGAAAUGGCACACUACCAUUUAAUUCUUCAUUCUCGCUGAAGAAAACAGCGAACACUCUAUCGACACAAUUCAUGCUUAAUGGAGACUCAUUAUAAACUAUCCUUUAGCAGGCUUCAUCGAUAAAAGUUAGUAUGUAAUUGCGGACAUAUAUCGCUACGCCGCGUAAUGUACUGCAUAAUACUCUCAACACGCCUAAACUAAUUUCAAACUGUAAUAAAAGUACGCGUGGCUUAUACAUGUGGAACGUAUGCCAUAAACCAUUAACGGUAAUGAUAUUGUUCUUGUAACGCGGCUCUAAUGCUAACGAUAACGAGCUGGCACAUAACUGUAUCGUAUUCAUUACCUUGACUUAUUAAAACAAAUAAUGAGAAUGGCGUUUGUUCAACAGGUAUCGUAAUAGCAAAGUAAAAUGGUAGACAAUUAUACGUUUUCUGCAAAGGUAUUGAUAAACGCAAAGAGAACAUUAUACGUAACAGCUUUCGAAUGCUCUUAUUGACGUUUCUAAUGACUUGAACAGACGGCAGCAAGAAGCGACAACGGUU
This is a long non-coding RNA of Solenopsis invicta (red fire ant), 5774 nucleotides long. RefSeq lists it as uncharacterized. The transcript is spliced from 2 exons. The record is from RefSeq and is a predicted model, not a curated record. Lineage: Eukaryota; Metazoa; Arthropoda; Insecta; Hymenoptera; Formicidae.